UUGGAGUCACAGAGCUAAAGUAUUAAUAAUGAGUAUAUAAUUUCUAGGAAUCCUGAUGAUUUGAUUGCUCUUCUCAGAGAGCAGAAACAGAAAAGAAGGGGAAGGGAAAGAAGAACCAGGGAAGCUCAUUAUCCAGAGUGAAUGUUCUCUUGGUGAAUCAGAAGUAGGACUUCUCUGAUCAGAGUUAUUGACUUGGUCUGCCCCUGGCAUCCAUUUUGAACAUUAAGAUCACCCUGCUGUAAGUCUGUUUUGGUCUCCUCCCUCUGCUUUCUUUGCUUCAGAUAAUUAAUAGAGAACUCUAUAAGUAUUGUGAGGGAUAAGAAGAAAAUGAAUUGUUUUUCUCUUCCAUUGUAGUCGAGGCUUCCCAAUCAAUUUUUUUUAUUUUUAGUUUUUGAAUUGAAAAUUUUUAAUUAAUUAAUUUA
Molecule: long non-coding RNA, 422 nt
Filed under: Monodelphis domestica (gray short-tailed opossum)
Lineage: Eukaryota; Metazoa; Chordata; Mammalia; Didelphimorphia; Didelphidae
Description: lncRNA (ENSMODG00000045228.1)
Source: RNAcentral